Molecule: ribosomal RNA, 255 nt
Filed under: uncultured bacterium
Lineage: Bacteria
Description: partial 16S ribosomal RNA
Rfam family: Bacterial small subunit ribosomal RNA
Source: RNAcentral
GCAAGUCGAACGAGGACUCUGGUAUUUAUAUCGGAUGUUCCUAGUGGCGAACGGGUGAGUAACGCGUUGGUAAUCUGCCCCAAAGAAUGGGAUAACAGUUGGAAACGACUGCUAUUACCGUAUACGAUCAUAUUGAUUAGAUGCUUUAUGAUUAAAGGAGUAAUCCGGUUUGGGAGGAGCAUGCGUCCCAUCAGCUAGUUGGUGAGGUAAUGGCUUACCAAGGCAAUGACGGGUAGGGGGCCUGAGAGGGUGAGC